AGAGUUUGAUCAUGGCUCAGGACGAACGCUGGCGGUGUGCUUCACACAUGCAAGUCGAACGAGGUAGCAAUACCUAGUGGCGGACGGGUGCGUAACGCGUGGGAAUCUGCCCUUCGGUUCGGAACAACAGUUAGAAAUGACUGCUAAUACCGGAUGAUGACGUAAGUCCAAAGAUUUAUCGCCGAAGGAUGAGCCCGCGUAGGAUUAGCUAGUUGGUAAGGUAAAAGCUUACCAAGGCGACGAUCCUUAGCUGGUCUGAGAGGAUGAUCAGCCACACUGGGACUGAGACACGGCCCAGACUCCUACGGGAGGCAGCAGUGGGGAAUAUUGGACAAUGGGCGAAAGCCUGAUCCAGCAAUGCCGCGUGAGUGAUGAAGGCCUUAGGGUUGUAAAGCUCUUUUACCAGGGAUGAUAAUGACAGUACCUGGAGAAUAAGCUCCGGCUAACUCCGUG
RNAcentral lists this ribosomal RNA (453 nucleotides) under uncultured bacterium. RNAcentral describes it as "bacterial SSU rRNA". It matches the Rfam family "Bacterial small subunit ribosomal RNA", at positions 8 to 507 of the family's 1533-position model. The record is from RNAcentral.